RNAcentral lists this long non-coding RNA (1317 nucleotides) under Zonotrichia albicollis (white-throated sparrow). RNAcentral describes it as "lncRNA (ENSZALG00000013823.1)". Lineage: Eukaryota; Metazoa; Chordata; Aves; Passeriformes; Passerellidae. The record is from RNAcentral.
GGUACGGAGCUCCAAAUCCCACGCAGCACUAACUUCGCAAGUGCAGGGAGGAACGGGGCCAGCAACAGCUCUUCCAUCAGUAAACACAAGCCAAGCAAGCGACGAGGAGGCUGGAGACGCCCUCACACCACCGACGCGGCCAGCGUCCUCUCCGCAGUACGGUCCCGGGGAAGCCUCGGACGCGGCCGCCUGCAGAACACAAGGCCGACGGCGACGAUCAUCGCUUUGCAGCUGCACCCUCGUUCUGUCGAGCCCGUGCCCGCCGCCAGACCCCCGGCAGCCCUCGCCCGCGCGGCCUCCCUGAGGCGCCGGCGCCCCCUCGCCCUCCGCACAGUGCCCUCCUGUCUCCCGCCGCCUCUUCCGAAGCGUGCCCGGAGCGGCCCGGAGCGGCCCCGAGCGGCGCCGUCGGGCGUGCAUCGGGACGGUCCUGGUGCGAACGGCGGGGUCCCGCCGGCCGCAAACCCGUGCCCCCUCACCGCGCCGUCCCUGAAAUGGCCGCCCAGCCGCGCGGGACUCCCCUCCUCCGCGACCCCCGCCCCCUCGGCUCCCGGGGGAGGCACACCUCCCGAACGGCGGCACCCCGCCGAGCCGGGGUUGCCCCGACCUCCGUGCCGCGGAGCCGCCCUGCUCUCCCCGGAACACGGCGAGGAGGGAGCAAGGGUGGAAGAUGGGGGAUCAACCGCGCCGCCGCCCGCGUCGGGGAGGCGGGGGCACCGCUUCUUGCGGGGCUGUGGGGGCGCCGCACACGCUCCCUCCUCACGGCGGGGAGGGUUAAUAAAGGCCGGCGACCGGCUGCCCGCGGCCGGGGGCGCCUCUCCGCGGCCCAGCAGUCACCGGCAUAGGGUCGCUCGCCACUCCGCGAGCCGCUCUGCCUCCCCGAGGUGCCGCCGCUGCCUCGGCGGGACUCGCCGGCGUGUGAGCCGCCGCGCGGAAGGAGCCGCUCCGCCUCUGACAGAGACGCGCCCCCUCCUCCCCUCCCCACCGCCCGCCCGCCCUCACCUCGAGCUGGCGCUGCCUCCCUGCUCUGCCGCCGGCGCCUCGCCCGUUCGCCACUGCGCCCCGCUGCUGUCCCCCUGGUGCCUGGCCCCGCCGAGGGGCAGGUGGCCAGCCCAGCCCUCUCCCCCGCUGCCUGCUGCGGCUGCUGCGUCUCUCGUCCCCCGCUGCAGGGAAGUCGCAGCGGCGAUUGCCAAGCGGGAGGAGAGGACAGGAGAGGAGUGGAGCCGCCGGCGGCUCGGGCAGCGCGCUGCGUCUGGGUCUCCGGGAAUGGACUGGGCUUCGUCCUGCGCCUCAACCUGCCCGUGGAGACGAGGGCGGUGA